Long non-coding RNA from Monodelphis domestica (gray short-tailed opossum), 544 nucleotides. RefSeq lists it as uncharacterized. NCBI's taxonomy places the organism in Eukaryota, Metazoa, Chordata, Mammalia, Didelphimorphia, Didelphidae. The record is from RefSeq and is a predicted model, not a curated record.
CUCCGUCACUCAGGGAGGGCGGCCCUUCUACACCUCUGAAAUGGUGGGGAUUCGGUGGGUCCUGAGCCCACCCUGCAAUUCGGGGUUACUGGGCAGGAUUGGCAGACGGACAGUCACCUUCCCCACCAUCGCUUUACAGACACUGGGCCAGAUCCCUGGGUGCAGUGGAUAGCCCCGGAGCGCACUGGGUUCUUUGGAACCAGACCGGAUGUGAUGCUUGCUUGCCGUUAAAUACUUGAAAGGGAGAAGAGACACUUCUUGGACUACAUUUCCCAGAAGGAGAUACAGCAGAAUCUCUGAGCAGAGCAAUGACAAAUAACCUAGGGAAGACUCUAAUCUUUGUAGGGAUAUUAACAUCCUCUUAGAAAUCCAAAGUCUAAAUCUAGAGAAGUUCCAACAAUUCACCAAGCCUGACACUUGUAUCAUGCAUGUUCCCUUUUCACAAUCUGGCACUUCAUGAACCCAGGAUAAUGUCUUUAAGUGGAUUCCAGAAAAUACAAUUACAAAGGGAAGCCAAAUAUUAGUGAAAAUAAAGAUGCAUUAA